Dendroctonus ponderosae (mountain pine beetle) is the source of this 623-nucleotide long non-coding RNA. RefSeq lists it as uncharacterized. Lineage: Eukaryota; Metazoa; Arthropoda; Insecta; Coleoptera; Curculionidae. The transcript is spliced from 2 exons. The record is from RefSeq and is a predicted model, not a curated record.
GUUAUGAAUUGUUGAGAGUUAUUUAGAUUAACUUUCCCCUGUCAGAACAUAUAUCGUUUUAAUUUGGAUCGACGUUUUGAAACACUCAAAAUUUACUUUGAGUGAGGCUCUGUGGUUGCCGAGACCGCACGAAAUUUGCGGAGAAAGUUUGGAAGGAAUGAAGCACCGUCAAACCAAGGAAUUAGGAAUUUUAUUGUUAAAGUGAGCAGAAGUGGAAUGCUGGUGGACAUGACACAUGUUUCGCAUGUGCAUCCAAGGCGUACACUUGAAGCAGUUGCUGCUGUGAGCGAAAGUGUGUGUCUUAACCCGUCAGCAUCAACUCGGCGCAAAAGUCAACAACUGAACAUUAGUCGUACCACCUUAAGGAAGAUUUUAAACAAAGAUCUUGGAUAAAGUGCAUGCGGACAAUCCUCAAACAAUUGACCACUUGAAGCAAAACAUUCAAGCUCAAAUCGCUCAAAUAGACCAGCAAACUCCUAAUAAAGUGCUUGAAAAUUGGAAUUCUGGAAUGUAGUACCUACUGCCGAGUCAGCAAGGGUGACCACUUGACUGAAAUCAUUUUCCGUACUUCAUCGGAAUACACAUUGUAGCAUACGAAAUAAAAUAAAUAAUAAAAAAAUCAA